This 486-nucleotide long non-coding RNA is filed under the name Salmo salar (Atlantic salmon). RNAcentral's name for it is "lncRNA (ENSSSAG00000103837.1)". The record is from RNAcentral. Lineage: Eukaryota; Metazoa; Chordata; Actinopteri; Salmoniformes; Salmonidae.
GUCUGUCCAACCAAACCCAAUUUGCCCACUAUAAGCUGGUUAAGGAGUGGUAGAGAGAUAAUCCUGAAGGGCUGGUGAUGCCACUAUACGACUCUAAGAUGCAUUACUGAUUAACAAAACACACCCUCUCUCACACUCAGCAGAUGAGUGUACUACAGAGACCACUGAUGAAAAUUCCCUGUGUGUGUGCAUUUUUUUUUGUACCAGCUCAGUAAAUCCCUACCAUUGUGUCGCUGAGUUGUCAUAACGCUGCAGAAAAUGUACAUUAUCCCAGGGGUGUUGGCAGACACAAUAGUCCUUGUCACGACGGUUGAAAGGAGAGGACCAAGGUGCAGCGUGGACCUGAGCCCUAGGACCAUGCCUCAGGACUACCUGGCUUGAUGACUACUUGCUGUACCCAGUUCACCUGGCCGUGCUGCUGCUCCAGUUCCAACUGUUCUGCCUGCGGCUAUGGAACCCUGACCUGUUCACCGGACGUGCUACCUG